AGGGUUUGAUUAUGGCUCAGGAUAAACGCUGGCGGCGCACAUAAGACAUGCAAGUCGAACGAACUUAACCAUUAGUUUACUAUUGGAGCGGUUAGUGGCGGACUGGUGAGUAACACGUAAGCAACCUGCCUAUCAGAGGGGAACAACAGUUAGAAAUGACUGCUAAUACCGCAUAUGCCUUGAGUAUCACAUGGUACAAAAGGGAAAGGAGCAAUCCGCUGAUAGAUGGGCUUGCGUCUGAUUAGAUAGUUGGUGAGGUAACGGCCCACCAAGUCGACGAUCAGUAGCCGGACUGAGAGGUUGAACGGCCACAUUGGGACUGAGAUACGGCCCAG
This 335-nucleotide ribosomal RNA is filed under the name uncultured bacterium. RNAcentral describes it as "bacterial SSU rRNA". It matches the Rfam family "Bacterial small subunit ribosomal RNA", at positions 8 to 334 of the family's 1533-position model. The record is from RNAcentral.